Molecule: small RNA, 827 nt
Filed under: Pongo abelii (Sumatran orangutan)
Lineage: Eukaryota; Metazoa; Chordata; Mammalia; Primates; Hominidae
Description: processed transcript
Source: RNAcentral
UUCUUUCUCUGCAAGGGAAACCGAUGAUCCCACUCCUGGGAAAUAGUAGGGAAACUUGCGGAAGUGACCGUGGUGGCUUCAAUAAAUUUGGUGGCCCUCGGGACCAAGGAUCACGUCAUGACUCCGAACAGGAUAAUUCAGACAACAACACCAUCUUUGUGCAAGGCCUGGGUGAGAAUGUUACAAUUGAGUCUGUGGCUGAUUACUUCAAGCAGAUUGGUAUUAUUAAGACAAACAAGAAAACGGGACAGCCCAUGAUUAAUUUGUACACAGACAGGGAAACUGGCAAGCUGAAGGGAGAGGCAACGGUCUCUUUUGAUGACCCACCUUCUGCUAAAGCAGCUAUUGACUGGUUUGAUGGUAAAGAAUUCUCCGGAAAUCCUAUCAAGGUCUCAUUUGCUACUCGCCGGGCAGACUUUAAUCGGGGUGGUGGCAAUGGUCGUGGAGGCCGAGGGCGAGGAGGACCCAUGGGCCGUGGAGGCUAUGGAGGUGGUGGCAGUGGUGCUGGUGGCCGGGGAGGAUUUCCCAGUGGAGGUGGUGGCGGUGGAGGACAGCAGCGAGCUGGUGACUGGAAGUGUCCUAAUCCCACCUGUGAGAAUAUGAACUUCUCUUGGAGGAAUGAAUGCAACCAGUGUAAGGCCCCUAAACCAGAUGGCCCAGGAGGAGGACCAGGUGGCUCUCACAUGGGGGGUAACUACGGGGAUGAUCGUCGUGGUGGCAGAGGAGGCUAUGAUCGAGGCGGCUACCGGGGCCGCGGCGGGGACCGUGGAGGCUUCCGAGGGGGCCGGGGUGGUGGGGACAGAGGUGGCUUUGGCCCUGGCAAGAUG